ACCAGCUUAGGCAACACAGCAAGACCUUGUCUCCACAAAAAAUAAAAAAUAAUUACAACACUAGAUUGUAAAGACCAGGAUGGACCUUUUUCUUGAUGUCCAGUGUCCUUUGUUGUAAGAUUUGGUGCAAUAUAG
This 135-nucleotide small nucleolar RNA is filed under the name Carlito syrichta (Philippine tarsier). Its description in RNAcentral is "Small nucleolar RNA SNORA81 (ENSTSYG00000024250.2)". It matches the Rfam family "Small nucleolar RNA SNORA81". Lineage: Eukaryota; Metazoa; Chordata; Mammalia; Primates; Tarsiidae. The record is from Rfam by way of RNAcentral.